Molecule: transfer RNA, 71 nt
Filed under: Halobacteriales archaeon QS_4_70_19
Lineage: Archaea; Methanobacteriati; Methanobacteriota; Halobacteria; Halobacteriales
Also listed under: 2 other names
Description: tRNA-Gly
Rfam family: tRNA
About the family: Transfer RNA (tRNA) molecules are approximately 80 nucleotides in length. Their secondary structure includes four short double-helical elements and three loops (D, anti-codon, and T loops).
Source: RNAcentral
GCGCCGGUGGUCUAGUGGUAGGACACGAGCCUUCCAAGCUCGUCGCCCGGGUUCAAAUCCCGGCCGGCGCA